RNAcentral lists this ribosomal RNA (330 nucleotides) under Triticum aestivum (bread wheat). Its description in RNAcentral is "partial small subunit ribosomal RNA". The record is from RNAcentral. Lineage: Eukaryota; Viridiplantae; Streptophyta; Magnoliopsida; Poales; Poaceae.
UCUAAACAUAAUGACAUAGAGAGUGCCUUUGGAGUGUUGAGGGUGAAAUCACAAAUUCGCCGCAAGAUGCUAAACUACUCGAUUCAAACAUAGAUGUUGAUUAUUGUAGUUAUUGUAACAUUGCACAACUACGUUCGUCUCCAUGACAAAGAUGACCUUCACUUUGUUUGGUGUGAAAGAGAUCCACGUUAUGUUCCAACAAUCCCGGAUAGAUACAAGAAGUAUGUUAUUCCUUGGAGUGCAUCAGAUGCUUCAACUUCAUAGGCAAGUGCUCCUAACAUGGAUAUGUUUAGGAACGAACUAGCAACCAUCAUUGCUUUUGCUUGGUGA